ACAUGUACUGCGGUAUUCGAUGAAGGUUUGUUCGCUCUUCACAUCGUUCAUUUCAUCUGAGUGAGUGAGUGAGUGUAUGCUUGCAUAUAUUUUUUCCGUAGCGCUUUGUGUUUCGAUCGGAAACUUUUAAUUUGAAACAAUAUCCGAUUGCGAUUUGUACAGAAUUCGCCGAAUCUCCGGCAGAGAAAGAAAGGGAAAGAUCGGAAGCGAGAGAAUGAAAUCACAAUUACAACGAGAAAAACGAAGGGAACCAAAGUCAAAGCUACUUGGAAUGGCAUGAAGACACGCGCAAUUUUUCGGUUCUAGCAUUAUUAUGACCGCUUCCAUAUACACUUUUUCAUGCUUUGAUGCUAUCUUCGUGUAGCAUUAGGCAUUCAAUUCACAUUUCAAUUUAAAAAUGAAGUUUUGAAAGAUCGAUCUAUUUUUUUUUUCUUUUUUGGCGUUGGUUCAUAUUCGGAACAAGGAAAUACUUUGUUCCAUCCAUAAUGCAAUAAAAUCGAUGAAGAAUCAACGUUUAUCUGAAGAGGGAAAACCGUACAAAUUACCAAAGCAUUUUAUAUCAAUCCUUUUCAUCACUUUGAAUGAUUUAUUCGCAUAAUUUUAUUAACGUUUUUUUUCUUUCUCCUGCAGAGAGAAAUUGCAACUUUGUGACAUAAAUAUUGAAUACUUUUACUGGGUAAUUACAUAGUUCGUCGCAGUGAUUGCCUGUGUGUUUGCACUUAAAUGCUGUGAACACAUUUCUCGGUAUCCGUACAACGCAUGUGCGCGAAUAAUAACUAAAACUUGUUUACUAAUUAAACAAAUUAUAAUUUUGAAUAUUUAAUGUGUUUUUAUUAACGUCGCUUCUGCUACUUCAGCUGCUCGAACAGCAACAUGAUUGUCCGUAUGCUGCUACUGCUGCUGAUCCAUAAUUUGCAUAUGUGACAGUGUAUGUGAUACAGUUUACUGGUUGAUUCGGAUUCGGAUGCGUGUGACUAUGAAUUCGCUUAAUGUUUCAAAUGGCUUUACUUGCCAGAUAACCGAGUAGCCGUGUAUGCAAAUGAUCAAGUACCUGGAAUUGUGUGCAGCAUCGUUCAAUUGCAUUUGUAAUGUUGAUAAAUGAAUAGCUAGUGUGUAUAGGUAGUUCUUUUGGUAUGAAUUGGGCUCAAAUUAAAAUGCAAACUUGGCUCGCUCAAGAUGAACGAUGAAAGCUACGGGAAUAAAGCGAAAGGUGAGAGCGAAACAGAGACACAGUGGGUUGGAUAUGGAGAUGAAGGAAUGUAAAGAGGGAUUAGUAGAAAUGGUUACAACUGAACAAUACCUGAAAAUGUUAAUGCAAUGGUUUAAUGUUAUUUAAAAAGGAACAGACAAUUUGGACAUUUCAUGUGCAAAUGCUCCACAUGGUUUAACGAAAAUACAGCGUACAAAGAAUCUUAAUUAAGUGAAUAUCGUUGUAUUUCCUUUUCAUUUAACUCGUUCAUGCCAUUGCUUUUUCGCCACUGAGCUCGGCACAUCGAUCCGAAUUUUCAUUCGGCAACAAUUUGAGGUUUCUUUUUUAUAUCCGUUUAUUCGACUUCCUCGUCGGAGGGAUAAUUUAGCACAUUUCAUUAGUAAAUGAAGACAAGCACGUAAGCAUAAGCGAUUGAGAUAAUAUUAUCCCAUCUCGUAAUUCCAGCCAUUUCACCGAAGAUCGGUUUGCCCAGCCGACAAUUACGUUUUUUUUUUUUUUUUUUUUGAUCCCAUAGCAACUAAUUGAGAAAUAACUAUCGCAUCGAUACGUAUUUAAUUUGACUGUGUAGAGAAAAUGGCACACUAUCACUUUUCCUUUCUUUGUUUCUUUUUCAUGGCUUAAUAUAAACGAAACACGUCGUUCUACUUUUUGCACGCAACAUGAGCUUUAGUCCAACUCAAACAUCCUGUGGAAGUCAAUUUGUAGCACUGCGGAAAUUAAUCCAACGCGAAAGACUAAAUCAAAAUAGGUCCACCAAUGAAUACAAGAUUCAUCUAAGUGUCUUUACCGCGCAAAAAACAAAAUGUGUCCGAAAAGGAGCGAAGACGUCAAAUACUAAUGGGAAAAGUGAAUAAACGAAUGCAAUAUGCAAAGUGAUUGGUUCAUAAAGUGGACCAACAACACAGCCAUAAAUUCCAAUUAACCUUAUAAAUAAGCAAUACGAUCACGCCCGAAAUUAAGCAGCUAUCAGCUGUACACUGAUAAAAGAAUAUGAAGACAUGAGGAGAAGAAACAAACAAGCUCUUAAACAAUAAUUUUUAUCACGAAUGACAUUUUAACUGAACAUGCAAAAACACUUAUUAUUAUUUGUAAACACAAAAUCGAAAUACAGUCCUGCUUAUUUGCAUUGAUUUGAUGCGACGAAUGUUUUGUUGUUGCUGAUCCAGCUGUUUUGCGUUCAGUUGAUGUGUUGUCGUUUUUUCGUCUCACAAAUCACCGGCAAAAAUCGAUGGUCGUGUCAGUGCUGAUGAUGAACGCCCGUUGAGCGUUUCGAAAUACGCAUUCACUUUAGAUAAAUAGAAUUGUGUAUCUUUUGUGCUACAAUAGCAAAAACAAUAAGGUGCUUUCAAACGAAAUUUCAAUUUUGUGUUUACAAAUAAGCUCUUGAACGUUAAGCUUCAUUCUUGGCCAUAAUAAAAUUCUUCAACAAACCGACGAACAGUUUACGAUGUAUAAGGAUGAUUGUGUUGGUGAGAUGGGAAAGAAAGAAUGUUCUUUCCAAUUCAAGUGUUUAAAAAGGAUUAACCUCGAAAAACCAACAAACAUUUUUUGAAUGAAACAUAUUCCCACAUUAUUGAUGCAAUGAAAACAUACGUCCCUUUAUUGUUACAUCAUAUACAUUGCUGAAUCAAACCUACGUUGUUUUAUAUCUCAUCAAUAGGAUUAUUAUUGUGGUCGAAGAAAAUUUCUUACAUCGAACAAAGAAGGAUAUUCAUAAUUACAGUAAAAGAUCUAAUAUAGCAUUGAAUAAAGUACAAAACCUCAUUUCACCUUGAUAAUGUCGUCCAAGAAAUCACAUCCAUGCGCAUAUUUAACGACAAAACCAGCAAAAUCGGAACUUCAUAACAAUACCCACCAAACGAUAAUAAUAGUUAAAGAACAAAAAGUAAUUGAAAAGGUACAAUAAGUAUACAUCUUCUAGUGCUUGUAUCACAUAGCACGGGCGGCUCAAAGCGCCAUUCAGAAGGAACGGAACACGCAUAACCGAAAUGAGAAUCACACGAAACAAAGGCGAACGAGAAAGCAAUGCCGAACAAUACACGCACAAUACAGCGAAACGACGUAACCAUAACAAACACAGUGGUUCAUGGAAUAUUAAAAAAAAACUUACUCAUCUAAAUGGGUAACGUAAACAGGUCGCAUCGUGACCUCCUACAAUUCAGGAUUUUUUUUUCCAUCGAAAUCAGCUUUCCAAUCAAAAUUACAAAAACUAAGUUGAAAAUUGUUUGUGUUGUGGCAAAACGAAGAAAGAAUAAAACACUUUUACAAAGUUUUUAAUACACGAUGCAAUUAAUUUGCUGCAUUCUUUCUUCACAACAGCAUAAAAAAAAAGUGAGCUAUUUCUUUUACUUUGACUAGCAUUGGAGCUACACUGCUGUAAACAGAGGAGAUUGAACAAAGAGAGAAACAUUCGUUGACUCGUGAAAAUGUCGAUAAAAAUACGUACUUCAUAAAAACCAUUUUCCGUACACAUGUGAAUCAACCUUCGAAUUUGCCCAAUAAAUAUAAUUUAGCUGCGCUGUGCUGUGCAUUCUGCCAAACUAACACAUUCAUUUCAACAAAUAAAUCUCGACCAAUAAAGACUUUUGGAAAUCUAAUGUUUAAUUAGUCCAAUUUGCACGAAAAAUAAAACACUUUAAAUAAUAUAGCUAAUCAUUUUAUGAAUGGCAAUAAAAUGAACAAGAAUAACAACUUGAAAUGUACAUCUAUUGAAUGAAGUAAACAACAAACUCAAUUGCUGAUUAAAAUAAUGGUGAUGAGUCGGCUUGGAAAACAAUUUUGAGUGUACUUUUCACGCUGGUCGCGUAUAUUUUUACUGCAUGGGCAAUUAUUAUUGCCGAAUUAUACAAUGGACGUAAUUCAGGUUAGAAACUAAGCGAAAAAAAUUGCAAAAUUAAACAAGGAAAGCUUUUUUCAAUAAAAAUUUGUAAGCUAAUUGAAUAAUGUUUGUUAUUUUUGUUCUAAAAUUACGAAAAAGUCCUCAAACAAUCGGAACGAAGAUGAAAAAUAAACAAAAUGCCACUGUUUGAAUAUGUAAACAAUUAUCGAAGAAAACACAUAUCGAAUAAACACAAUUGGUUUCAUUGAAGCCGAUCAACCGAUGAUAAUACAAUGGUUUGUGUAAAUUCGACCAAGGACAUCAUUAGAUACAUUCGGUGCGCUUACGUAGGCGUACUUCUGUUUUUAACGACCACAAAAAGUACAAUAUACACACACACACACACACACACACGCACAUACGCACACACACAUACUUGUACAGCUUCAAAACAGACUAUAACUCGGUUGGAAUUCAUGGUGCAAGUUUCCAUUGAAAACAUCGUAAAAUUAAUUGAAUUUUAUUCUCAGCUAUUUAAAUGAGUACAUAUAUAUGUUCGAAAUGUUUAGAUCGACAUUUUUCCACAUAUUUUUAUACAUAACCAUUGGAACGAUGGACUGAGCAAUAUUUUCAAUUUACUGCAAUCAUUUGGUCGUUUAUGUUUAUCCAUAAAAACAUCAGUUGUCUUGUUAGUGUGCGUUCAUCGAAUCCAUGUUCAAUUUUUUGGUUUUGGUGGCAUAUUAAACAUAGAAACAAUCGGUCGGCUAUGUGUGCACAUGAUUUUCAAUUAGGUUCUAAACAAUCGGUUGUUUGAUUUAGCUAUUUCGUAUAUAUGGUGUAAGGCAUUACAUAUGCUCGAAUUUGAGCAUCACAAUCGAAAUGCAUAGUAACAAUUUUACCAAAAAAUAAAACACUGGCAGCUAUGUACUUCAACAAUGGUAAAUUACCACUUCGGCACUAAGCAGCGAGUGGGAAAUUAUGAAAAUAGCAUCAGUCCGACAUCAAUUGGUAUCCGAAUAAACUUCUGCUAAAUUAGCUGAAUUCGAAAUUGGAAUUCCUCAAAAGAAAAAUAUAUUUUCGAUAUUUUGUGCGGAAAUGAUUUUUGGAAUUACAACCACAAGAGAAAUCUAUGUAAAAAGAGUUUGAAAAAAAAAAAUCAUUUUGCUACCAGAGAUUUGAGUCGACGCCAAUAAACUGAAAGGCAUUGAAACGUUGGAACAAGGUAGAAAAGCGCAAAAGUACAUGUUCAGACCCAAAUCCAAACCACAAAAACCAACAACGCUUGUGGACAUUUCCAUUUGGAAUGGCUUGGCUUGGCUUGGCUUGGCUUGGCUUGGCUCAAAUGAUGAGAUGGCAAAUGUCAGUGAAGUGUUGCUUUUCCGGGUUCGAUUCAACCAUUUUAAAUUUCAAAUUGAUUGAAUUCAAAGAUGUGAAACAAAUAAAAUCAACUUUAGUUCUUCGUCAGCACUUUGUCUCUAUCUCUCGCUUGCUUUUGAUUUCAGUCUAGAUGAAGUGUAUUUGAUACCGAAAUUGCCCACUUAUUUCGAGGGUAUCGUUGUCCGUGCAAUACAUUCCAACAUUCUUGAUUUGAUGCCACAAAGUAUUCAAUCAAUAUGAAGCACAAAUCAACUUAUUCCUUACGAGCCAAUCAAUUUUGCAGCUUUUUCUCCGUUUUUUUUUUCUUUACCGAAUGCGUAGCAGAUUGGAUUCGGUGGAAUUUUUUUAACGAGACCAAUCGAAACAGUGAAACAGAGAAAUUGAUACCGAAAAGUGGAAAUAAGACAACUCGGACUAACUCAAAGAUCUGAGUAAGUAGUGUUUUUUUAGUUGGUUUGCUAAAAUUUUGAAGACUGUGCUAUAUAUAGAUACACGAUGGCAAGGAAGUUUUUUUUGUAGCAAAAGCAAACGACGUCGAAUAGCAAUGAAAUUGAAAUUCUACAAUUUGAAAAAUCGAAAACCGCCUUUUGUGUUAUACCCAACAAAGUAGUGAUAUCAAAAUGGAAUUGGUUGCAUUCUUCUCGUCAGAGCGAUUUCCAAUGUAGAAACUACGCCUCAAAUAUGAUUAUUUGAAAAACAUCCGUCAAAAGGAAAAUAUUGGAGACUUUUCGGAUGAAGCGAUCGAAUCAAACCCGUUUAUCUUACUUUUGUUAUGCAUUGAACUUUCUUAAUGGCGUCCCCGAUUGACUGUUGAAAUGUCAAAACUGUACGCAGAGACAUAGUCGUUGAGUUGAAUGUACUUCAAAAAUGUGCGUAAUUUAAUGAAUAAGGAAUGAAACAGAGUAAAUCUAAUAAAAAAUGCUAGCUGUCUGUUAUAAUUAGAAUGAAUGACAUCAGCUGGACUGGCACAGGGAAAAUGUCGAUGAUGAAUGAGCGGAAAACGGAUAGCUACUAUAUAGUAAACUGUAUAGUAAACUAUAGUGAACUAUAUAGCUAUCCCUUUUCAUUUGACAUUUUUCCGCUCAACUUUUCUGUAUUACAUUUUCGCUUCAAACCAUUCAUAUAUCUCUGACAACUUGUCAUAUUGCUGGAAGUUUUCGGCGCCAUCACGUGCAAUGCGCUACCGCACAACUCUCCAUUAAACGUUGUCGGAUGAUUGCUCAUCAACAUGUGUAUCUCGAUUGACACCCACUCCAAUGCCCAUAUAAAAAUGGUAAAUGCCGGUGCAUAAUAAAUCACUUAACGCAGCCCUGUAUAGUGUUCAUUGACAAUCGAUAUGUUUUCGUGGUGAGAAACUUUGAUUGAAUUUCAAUGUACGUCAUUAUAUCAAAUGCACUACUAAUUGAUUGUUAUGAAUAUGAAACGACAUCUUGACGCCAGAUAAGAUUAUUUCACGAGUCACUGAAAUACACAUUGAUAGCAUUCAAUCGUUCUUCUUCCCACUGCUCGGCUCACACGGAAGUCGAUUCGAGCGCGCGAAUCUAAAAUAAAACUUCAUCGCCUCGUUUUAUUUCAAUUCGACUGUCUUCCAUAUUCAUCUAGCUUAUAUUUUUUGGGCUGCAAUUCAUCAACGCUAUUCCUACAGUUGAUUUUCUGGGUGUUGUAGUUGUUCUUCUUCUGUUUAUUUUAAAAUCUAAUCUUUAGGUUGGCGUAAAGUGCAAUAACAUUUUUUUUUUCCGAGCAAGUCUUUCAACUUUAGUUUGUUUGUUUGUUUACAUUCUCUUUUUCGCAACAAUUCGUAACUAAAACUUGAAUCAUUGCUCCAUCCAUGCGGUGUUUGCCAAAUGAAAUACUUACACAGUCACUGAAAGUGAUGUUGUGCAAACAGCUAAUUCAACAAACCUUGGUACAAAAAACUUAACGCGUGAUAAUAUCAUUAUGCUAUAGCGUGUUUAUGAUUCUUAAAGGAUGCCACUAUUCAGUGCUCCUGGCGGAUCUAAAGUUGUUGGAAUUAUUUUCAAGUUACAGCACUUCAAAAUUUUAAUUUGUUGAAAAAAGUGAGUUUUUGCGUCAUUUUUUUAAAUUUCCACUUUUUUUCGUCGAUUUUGCACUGAAAAUCAUAAAAUCAAAAAUGAAUUCCGGGAAAACUAGUGGAAAAUUGAAAAAACUGAGUAUGCAGAUCUUUUUUUUUUCAUUUAAAUAAGAUAUUUUAGCAAUAUUUUGAAAAUCGGUGAGAAAAAAAUAAUUGUGGGUCGAUUCGAGUCAAAUACCAAAAAAAAAAUCAACUUUGACGGGGUUUUUAUCAUACAGACAUAGAUUUCUCUGUCGUCAAGUAAUUAGUUUGAUAAUUUUUUUCACUAUGAAAUGAUCCCAAUAAAAUCUUCAUUCUGAUCCAUAAAAUUUGCCAACGUCGUCCUUUGUUGUUAAUUUAUUGGAUAUUUUCCAAUAUAUAAUCAUUUGUGUGCCGUUGUCACUGCCAAUGAGGCCGACGCCGUCAAUGCCUCAUCCCAUCAAUUUACUCUAAUGACUUUCACUGGCAAAUCCAUACAAUUCGUUGGUUGCCGACUGAACAGAGAUGGACUCGCUUAUCAAUAAACCGGCUAUUCAAAAUGAUUGAGAUCUAACGCUGAGCUGAUUAAAUGUAAAUCAUGAAAUUAUAUUCGUUUUCACAUUCGAACACAUUCGAUGAAAAUGAAAUCAGCUGAUUUGAUUUCAACACGUUAUCAAGAACAAUAUUUUCUGCGAAGGAAAGCAGUGAUGGAAACAACCGAUGUUCUUUUUUCGACGAAUGGAAAUUUAUUUCUACAAAUAUGGGAUAUGAUGAGUCACCCCAUUGGUGAUUGCACUUUUCACCCGAAACGUUCAUUAUUAAACGAGAAAUUAGAUUAGUGACGUUCGUUCAAAAGUCAACAAAAACUUUUGGAUCGAAAGGUUUCGAUUUUAAUUUCGACGAAUGGUUGAGUGGAAAGAAUGAAUCAAACAGUGCAAUUAGUUAAGCGGAACGAGCAUGCACGGAAUAUUUUAAAACAACCUUUGAAAUUUUUAAAUGAAAAAUAAUUGUAAUUCGGUGGCAAAUAUUGUUGCUAGGUGCAUUCAAGUGCUGUUUUGGAGCUUGUGAUGUUGAAUGCCUGGUUGACACUUACACGUGCAAUACGAAUGAUAUACAAUCAGCAGUUUUAAAAUAGCGUGCGACAUCGUAUUAAAAAGUUUACCAAGUAAAAGCUUCAAUACAAUCGUAAAAUUGUCGCUGCACAGAAAAUUGAACAAGCAACGUGUCGGACGAAAAUGUGAGAAUGAAGAGCAAUAUCACGUUGUGUGACAUCAUUUUCACGGUAAGUGGUUGUGUGCUCUUUACGUUAUCGUGUACCGUUUAUACACUUGACAGAGAGUGAGCACAAACAGCAUAACCAUUCCUAAUGAUAAAGAUAAUGAUAAUUUUUACGAUAUAAAGACAUCCAAAUGUAGACCGAAACACUUGUUGAACGAAGAUCAUCAACGUUUGGUGGCAAAUGCAUAUGCAAUUUUGAGCGCUUUGACGAAAUACUCUAACAACAACACUCAUUGCGACCAUUUUUCAUUGCUUCGUGCACCGUUGUUACAAGUAGCUGUUGAUUGCAGAUUUACUUUAGAUUUAAAAAAAAAGAGCACAAAAUGCGAUGUGAUUUAUACAUUUAUUACGCUACGAUGUAUGGCCGAUUAACUGUACGUUUCGCUACCGCUUGAAGUAGUAAUGCUUGAACUUAAGUCCUUUAUCAAUCAUUCGACCACAUUUAAGUGCGCAGUUUAUAUUUUUUCCUCUACUGCGUUGAUAAACAUCUGAAAAUCUUCAAAAAUAUUUAUAAAUUGAAUGAACAAACACAAAUGUGAUAUCGAAAAAUAAACAGUAGAAAAUGAACCGAAAGAAAGAGAACAGAGGAAGCAAGAAAAGUGUAGCGUGACGAACUUUAAUGGUAUUCAUUUCCGACUUUUUGUGCUGGUGGGGCAUUUUCACAAUGGACGUGGCGAUCGCUUCUCGUUCCAAUGAAAUUGAUGAAAUAUUUGGCUUGGUACAGUAUCACGCGUUUUUUGUUCUCUCUCUCUCUCUCUUUCUCUCUCUUUCUCUCUCUCUCGAGUUGAGCUAAAUUUUAAGGUUGCGGCCGACGUCACUAGCAUCGCAAAUUUCUUGCAAUCACCAAAGCGCUGAAAUGGUGGCAGUCUUGGUUACUUAUGACAAACCAGAAAGCAGUUGUUAAUUUUAUUUCACUGGAUUUUCCCAACAACGAAAUUCUUGAGAGCGAUUCCAUAGAAUUGUUAUUUUUUGCUAUAUUUCGUUUUUUUUUUAUCCUGCUGAAAUCAUUUGCAGUGGCUUCGCAUAACAAAUGAAUUUGGAAUACUAUUCAAAUGUACGAGGCUGCCGUAUAAGGGGGAAAAAAUAAGUGAAAGAAAAGCUCGCGGGUGGGAAACGGAACCGAAACACUUGAUAGCAUUGCGUGUGCAUGUGCAAUUAUGGGAAUGGUUGUUUUUGUGUUCAUCUUCUACUCGCCCCGUUCUUGGUUGAAAUGGCCACAGGAGUGGUUCGCUGAUUUGGCGAGAUCGUGCAUUUCAAAUUGAGGAAAACACGAAAAAAGAGUUCUGCACGAAUCCAACUUUUUUUUUUUUGAUUAAAAUGCAAGCAUAAAUAUUAACGUGACUAUGUGUACACUAGUUUACCACACUAUACACACUUUUAUUUUUAUUAUCAAAACGCCUUUGGGACAGUCGCAAAUUCUUUGACUUGACGCAAAAAUUAUUUUAUACUUUACUCUAUUUAUGCGUACGCACGAGGAAAAAUGUUUCACAUAUUUAACUAAAACUGGUUAUCUAUAACCAAUUACAGUGCUGGAUACAAGUGAUGCACGGUAUGACACUCCACAGUGUGGAUAUUUAUCAGUGUUGUCAUCUUCUCUUUCGGCUUUUUUCUUCUUCUUCGCAUUCGUUCUCAUCUUAGCCAAAUAAAAUUUAUCGCAGCGAUAACGUUCGAGUGGAUGGGCAUUAAUUCCAGUUUUCAGCUAUCACUUCACCUCAGCCAUUUCAAUUUUUAACAGCACUGUGGAUUGUACAUCAGGGUACUAUAUAUAUUGUGGAAGUGUAUAAAAUAACCAUGCACUCACACGCACGCACCCUCCUUCGCUCGGCAAAUUGAUAGCGUACUCUUGAUAUUGCGUGUGAAAAAUAGUGAACACACCGGAAAUGGGGCUGGAGAAAAUGCAAAGAGAAUCUCACCAGAGAAUUGAUGAGAGAGAAGGACAAUGGAUGAUUUCGCACAUUUUACGGCUUAAACCUCAGCCAAUGUUCCAAGCGAAUGCAAUUCGUGAUAGACUAAUUUGCAUACUAAACUGUAGUCACUGAGAUAGCCAGCCACUGAGAUAGCGCGCACGCACACCAUUAAGCGCACAAUUCCACCUCGAGAUAAGAUUAAAAUAUUCAUGUCAAUUGAAUAAAAGUGUACGGAUAGAAAAGAUACAAGAGAGACAACGUACAACGAAGCAGAAAUCAACGAGAGAAAAAUCAAGUGCGCAAAUUUUAUUAAAACUCGUCGUAAUUUUUCCUGCUGCUUUUUAACGGUGAUGGACGGCCUGCGGUUGCUAUGCCGAAAACCAAUUAUACACUGAGAACACAAUGAACAAUCAGUUUACCUAAUUUCAAUCAAUGCAAUUUUCGAUAAUUGAACUGCUUAUGCUGCAUUUAAUGUUUACUUGAUCAAAAUUUAAAGUGCGAAUAAGAAAAGAGUUUAUCGAACGGGUUCAUAUGACCCAGCCGGCCGAUCCAUAGACAAAUUAGUUGCGCUUGCAUCGGAUUAUCUUCAUACGGAUGUGCUUGAGUUCACGAGAUGUUUAACAAAAAAUAGAGAGAGAAAAAAGCCUGAAUAGCUUUUUCCAGGAGUCCAGCUGAAAUGUGUAACUCCAUCACUUUAAUUUAUUGUGUUGAUUGCAAAUGGCAGAAGAUUAUAGACAAGACAGAGUCUGCAAGCAGAAAAAAGAAAAUGAUUUAAGCUUUGCAAAUGUGUUCGUUUUCUCAACCAAAGAAUAAAUGUUGACUAUUUGUGAAAGUGGAAGUGGUUUAAGGAAAAUCUACCGCAACGCAACGAUGGGUUGAAGUUAAUCGUUGUGAGUGUGUGUAUGUGUGUGUGUGUGUGUGUGUUUAUGUGGCAUUCGCAUCCAAUUUAAGUGCAUCAAUUUUACACACUUGAGUUUAUUACAAAUUAAUCUCUUGAUGUGCAAAGGUGUGUUUGCAAAUGUUUAAUAGCUUCUGAGGUGAUGAACGUUACAAUAUGAAAUUGCCGUUAUUUAAAGAUAUAAAAUUCACUUGGAAAUUCAUCAACGACCACAAAAAAUCGAUACGAUGAGUUCAAUAUUUAUUUGAGCGAAUAUAGUUUAUUUCGAGCAAAUAGCUUACGUUAGUGAUGCAAUCAACUCCAACAUAAAUCGCUAACAUUGCUGACGAUUUACCAAGUGAGAGAAGAAGAAAAAAAACACGCGCUACAAUAUUGAUUGCAAGUUGAGUACUUUCAAACUGAUUUCAUACUUCGAUAACUAAUGCUUUAAGCUAUGAGAUUGCAUUUGCUGAAGUGAGGCGAAUAACACUCUUUUUUUUCCUUUCUCUCUUUCUCGCCUGAAUAUUAUCGCAAAAAUACGAAUUGAUUUCAAAGUGGAUGUACAAAAUAGAAAAUAUUUACGGAUACAUUUUGCAAUGGAUCGAUCCAACAUUGCCCAUUAUUAUCAUAGUCGACUCAUGGCAGUGCCAUUGUUAUCUAUAUCAAACUGUUUAUUAGUUGCUCAUUUUGAACACUUUACCCGUUGCACAAAUAGAAAUUUUCCCAAGGAGAAGUUCUCAAAAUAGACUUAACUCUCUCACUGGAAAAUCGAACAACAAAAAACAAUGGGAUGAAGAAAGAAAACUUGCUUGCAUUGAAUGCAGCGAGCGUUAGUAGUUUCAGCCAAAUCGGUAUUUUGUUACUCCGAUAUUCAAUUCAGUUUAUUUCAAAUUCUCCAUCUCCAUAGACUCGGAAAGCUCGACGUUGACGUUGUCUUGCACUUUUCCACAGCUUUUACGUCUUUGAUCAAUUUUGUUGACGAAAAAACGCAAUGUGCCGGAAAGAAAUAGAAAGACACAGAGAGAUACUGAGAGAGAAAAGCGAGAGAGAAGAGAGAACAAGAAAGAAAGGAAGAAAGAAAGAAAGAAAGAAAGAAAGAAAGAAAAGAAGAUACGAUGAAUUUUGAGAGAAAAAAAUGUGCCCGAGAAAAUAUGAGAUCUGUUCUGAGGAAGAAAAUGAUAUACGUUUGCUUUCGAUGUUAACGGUAAUAUAUUUGAUGUUAGUUCGAGCAACACAAAACCAAGUAUAUUAAUCGAGCAAAACCAAAGGCAACAGACCCAGAAAAAUGAGUAAUAAUUAUAAUCCAAGAUGAGCCGCUCAACCUGUUCAUUAUUGCUCAAAUAUUCAUCUCAUGCAAACUUUCGCCGUAACGUAUGCGAACCAUUUUUACAGCGUUCCAAAAUAGAAAAAAACAGUUUAUCGCAAAUUGAUGUACUACAAAGGAAUGCAUCGCUAUGAAAUGCCAGCGUUUUUUUGAAUCACAUGCACCUAUUGCUUAUUUAGUCUCUCAAAAUAUUCCCAAGCGUAAAAAAAUCUGCAUUUGCAAUAAACCAUCAUUAUGUUAAGAAUGUAGUAUCCACGAAUCUUCAUUGUAUAAAAUUUUUCUGGUGGGGAGCCCUGGUUGUUCGGAACUUUUUUCGUUGUGGAUAUUCGUUUGCCGCCAUGUGCUGGACAUAUUUUCACGUUUCUCUCUCUCCCUCAGUCUCUGUCUCAACGUUCCCACUUUCGGCAUUAGGGUCAAUUAUUAUGAAACUUUUGAUGUGGCGCUGAUGAAAGAAAACACGUAAUAAUGAAAAACAAAUAUUUAUUGCUUUUCUUCACUUGAAAAUGCAUCGUUGCAUGUAGGAUGCAUGCAAGUUUCAUCGCCUAGCAACCCAUGAUUCGUAAACAGUUUUUUUCUUUCCGUUGUUGUUGGUGGCGGUGCCGAUGGUGUUUUCUCGGAAAUGCCUGAGCGACUGGUUGGAUAGUGGUUUUUUUUUUGUUCAUCAGCAAAUGCUUCAAUGCAUUAAAUUUGCAAUGUUAUUCAAUACCGAUGGCAGUAUCGACUAUCAGUACAUGUGUCAUCUAUGGUGAAAAAUUCGCUAUAAUUUUCAAAAUGUCAGAGUAAAAAUUUCCAGAUUGUCACAAUCAUAAAAUGCAAUUUGAUAUGAUGCUUUUUGAUGCAUAAGACUGCUGGGACAUGUGUCAGCAUCUAUUCCGUUCCAUUCAUUUCAUCGACAUAUCUCUUGAGUGUGGGUGUGGAAAACUUUCUAUCAUCGCAAAUUUCUCUUCCCCCUGUCAAUUAUCAAGUGAAGCGAAAAUCUGAUUCGUAUGUUAAAAUGUGUCAUCUCUUCAUGUAAUUACACAUGUGCUAUGAUCGGGUUUGUGAUGAUGAUUCAGAGAUGCUUUUCUACCAAAAAAAACAAAAACAAAAUAGAAAACAUCGAUUCAAUGAAAACGGGAUUAACCGAUUAUUGAUCAUCAUAUUUUCGUUCACUGUUCCAAAUCAUCACAUUAAUCUCACUGCUCAUGCAUAAAUUUUAACAUUAUUCGCUAAACCAGCAAAGUAUUCAUUCAAACUUCGUAUCCACCACAGAUUUACGCAUUUCUCUUUCACUUUUGAUCUCAAUGAACAUAAGUUCGUUCGUUAGAUAAUAGUUUUUAGUUUUAAUUAUGGUCAUUUCAAGUCUUUUGAUUACUUCAAAGAAAAGAAAAAUGAAAAAAAAACCAGUCUCAAACAAUAACUUUUUUUUCUCCACAUGUUAGCAAAGGAUAUUUUGUAGCCUAUGCUUUUCGAUUUGAUAUAAUCUUCGAUUGAAAAUGGUUGGAAGAAACUUUUCCUCGACAUUCGACUAUCGAUAUUACGACCGGGUAAACUUUCUUUGGAGACUCAUUAAAAUUUUAUAUUUAUUUGUUGCCCGGCAUUUUUCCACUUGCACAAUUCUUCUCGAAAGGUUCCCUCUACAACGAUGAUAAAAAAUCGGCCAUAAAUUGUCUUGACUUUGCAUAAUUGCAUCAACUUCAUAGCUGCACGAAACAGCGAAUGCUUUAUAAAACGCAAACUUUUUGAAUUUAAUUGAUACUUGAACGUGUCGCCGUAUUUUGAGCACACUUGAUGUGUAAAUAAUGGGGCGAAAUAAUGAAUUUUUUUUUUCUGUUCUCCCAUCCAAAUUGGAUUGAAUAAAUGAAGUUUAAAGUCGGAAUGUGUCCGUCGAAAUCGUGAGAAUGGUUAUAUCAUGCGGAAUUAAGUGAGGACGAAAAAAAAAAACCAAAGAGAGUGGAAUCGUACUCAAGAGAGUGAUAAAAUAACAUCAAAUGAUAAACAAUCUAGGGUUCCCGGGUACAACGAGAGCGGAAUGUCCGAGCGGCAAAAAUCUCCAUUUGCUGGAUCGCAUGCAACCAAUUGAAGGCGACAAACUGAAAUGGUGAACGGGAUAUGAACGGUAUAACACGCUACAUAGCAACGUCUUUUUCCGCAUACUAAUGCGACAUAGAAUAUGCAUUAAGGCAUCCGUCCGACCAAAUCAAGAGAAGGCGUUGAGUAUGUCAGUAGAAAAUCACACCGGUUGAUAUCAACUGACUGUUGAACGCGCGUGAUGCGCGUUUAUUUCAAAAAUGUAUCGGGAUGAGUUGGACACGUUGUGCCGCGUGCAUUUGGCUCACUCAAAUCAAUUUGUCGUUUGAUAUGUCAUUUUCCCACCGGCAAUUACUUAUCGUGUUCAAAAUGAUGACGAUUUUUCUUUUAUGUAAAAGACCCGUAACAACCAAAAUAUUUGUAAGACAUCAGUGAUAUGGAAUGCAUACGGUUUAAUCGUAUCACAAUUACUUUCUGACAAUGGAAGAAACAAAAUGCACAGAUGACUGACAGCCAUGAGUGGUAUUUGGCUUGUCGCGUUUGGCGAUAACAGAGAAAGAUUGAACCGAGUGAUGGUGACAGCGCUUUGCACGUGGAAAAGACAAGCGCACUGAGUAAAAAAAGUGAAGGAAAACCGCGAGCAAGGUAAUGUGAUGCACACAGGACAACGAACGACAACGACGACAAAAUCGCUCGAGAUAUGCGACUGCCUAAUGCUCAGACCACUAUUGCAAUUUCUUUGAAUGUUUUUGUAAUCUCUGGAGGGAAUGCUCUUGCUCAACAGCAAACGGAGCCACAUUAAACUAUCGUUUCUUUUUUAACAAUAUAAUAUAUUCUUGGGAAUUUAUCACAUCUGCGAUCUUUGACGAAACGGCACCCGAACAAAAAACGGAUUCAGUAUUGGUACAAAGGAAUGCUAAAUGUAUGGCAACGUUAAUGCCUUUUUUGGCUGUUUUUCGAUGGUCGUUGCAAACUGUAAUUUUUCCUUCUCUGUUGUCGUUGUGUGUGUGUGUGUGUGUGUGUGUGUGUGUGUGUGCAGUGUAACGAAACGGGAAACCCACUUAAAUUCAUUUUAGAAUGCAAAAGAAAGCUACGAUUUUCUUUGUAUAAAUAUGGUACACAGUUUUGCAGUUAAAAUAUGGCUGAAUAUUGGACGAGCUUUGCUCAAACAACACACAUACACGCAAAUGUGUAUAAUCAAUCUUUGCAUUGCGAUGAAUAUUCUGGAUGAUAAAAUGUCGUUUCUUCCGCAUUUCUGUCGCAGUUUCGAUUAUUGCUGAUGUUAUAGGGUUGUAGAAAAACGAUGUAAAUCGCCUUCUUAUCCCUCUUUCGUUUUUCAUUCGAUAUUUACUGUAAACAAUCUUAAAAACUCGGCGGGAAAAGAAACAGAGAUCCGUUAAAAAAAAAUCGUUCCAGUUGUUGAUGCACUGAGGAGGAUGACUUGCAGCAAAUAAAUGCCGUUUUGUGUAUUCUCUUCACAUGAAGCACGAUGAAUGAUUGCUUUAUUGUCAUUCCACAUUUCAAGCCAUACAAUAAAAUUGUAUAAAUUUAUUGCAUUCCUUUUUUCAUUUAUUUCAUGAAUUGAAAUCGUUGACGUAUUCAAUUGAUCGUCAGUUUUCCACUUCUAUUCCCCAAAUCAUUUUUGGUAAUUUUUGCUUAAGAAUUCCCGAUUUUUAUUCCAUAUCCAUUUCAAAUGGGGGACAUUUCAACGGAACUUCAUCAGCAACAUUUCUCUGAAAUGGAUUAUUCGAUUGUGAAAUGCCAUUUAUCGUUUGUUUCGUGACGCAGCUCGUAGAUGCAUAAGGCUGUAUUCGUAGUAAAAAAAAAAAUGAGCAAAAAGCAUACCUUCAUCGCUUUGAAAUAUAUUGCAUUAAAUUUCGCAUUGAUGAAUUCACCGUUUGCAAUCGGUAUCGAAUUCAUAGUAAAGACGCAGACUUUGAGUUCUCCUCGCAAACAGAGCGCGAAAACCAAAAAAUAAUCGUCUUCUGGCAUUAGUGGCUCGUGCAAUUUCCGUUUUACCAAAUGCUUCACUAUGCGACGGCAAUGUCAUUUAUGUAGUUAUGUUUUCGGGUGCGCGCUUACGAAUUUCAAGUUGAAAAAUGUAAUUUGAUUUUCGAGUGCAAAGUUAGUGAAAUAUUGAAAAGCAUUCCAUUUAUUGAAUGCAAAAAUAUAGGAGUCGUAAAGAAAAUUGUAAAGCCAUAAGUAUGUAAAAAUUUGCAAUGGCGAAUGACGCAGUCAAUCGACUGCAUCUGAAGCCUGAUGAAAAUUAUCAACAACUGAACUAGCGAUACGUUUUGCGAUGCAGUUUUUUUUUGUAUGGAAUUGAAAAGUUGAAAUUGCAAUCCUUGUGAAGCAGAGGAGUGAGAACAGAAAACAAGAAGAAAAAAAAACAUGCGGCUGACAACACAACAGUAUUUCAGCAAUGAGAACGUCACAAUGUAUAUUCAAAAUAGAGUGCACUUGAUAAAUUUACUUCACGAUAAACCUGACAUUUAUUAUUAUACGGCCUGAAAACAAGCGUAUUCAUACAUAAUUUUAGCAACAUCGUAAACAAAAAUGAACUCAGCUCCAAACAGAACACAUAAUUAAAUACACACACGCGUUGUUUCUCUCUCUCUCUCUCUCUUUCUCUAUUGCUCUAUCAACACAUAGCUGAAGGGAUUAUGCCUUAAGCUUCAUUAUAAAGUAACAACGCUGUCAAACGAUCAUGAUCCUACUUGGAGAUAAGCUUUACGAAAUUCUUCGUGUAGUUCAUCUUGCAUUUGCAACCAGGUUAAUUCCCACUUCGGAUGCUUAACGUAUGACUUCAACAUAUAAUUAUAAUUCUAUAACAAUUAUUAUAGAAAAUCCACGUUCAUUCCAUUAAUUUGUAACAUUUUGAUAAUGAACAACAUACAAAACACACAAAACAAUACAGACAUACAAAAUGAUUUAUCAACAUUAAAAUUACACCACGGUUGCAAAUACGACUCAAUGGUAAAACAAAUAUAUUUGAUAUUAUAUAUAUCAACAAUCAGUUAUUCAAAUUGAAUUUGCCUGGCAAUGAUCUCUGUGGUAUAUUGUGUGUGUGUGUGUGUGUUUUAAAAUAGGCGAUGAUUCGAAAAUUAAAAUGAAUUUUAUUUUUUCUCUAUAUUCAAUAUGGUUUCAGCAGCCAGCAUUCAAUGAACGCCGAUCAUAUAUAUUCACUUGUGUAGUUUACCACAAAUCUGGGUUUACCAUAAAAACCACGAUUGAACCAUUGCAAUAUUGUUUGACACAGUUUAUUGAGAGAAAAAAGCCAUUGCGGUCAAAUCCACAUUCACAAAAAUCCGAAAUUGGAAUUCACCACAGAAGGAACAAAAAAAAGGAUAAGCGCACGUGGACACGAAUCCAAAAUAUACACAAGAGCAUUGGGCAAAAGCGAUUGUCUGCUUUGAAAUUGCAAAUCAUUUUAUUCACAAAGAAUUCGCUCAUAAUUUAAUUUUGAGUUUAUACAAUUCAAUAAAAAAAAAAGAAUUGGUGUGCCCCAUUUUUGUGCUGUAUGUAAAUAUAGUGUUUGUUUAGGCCGUUGACGAAUGCAAAAGUGCAAAAAUUCGAAGCUUUCGAAUGUUCGUCAUCAUCCAAUGAAGUAUAUAUUUCGGUACAUUCACAUUUAAAAUGUAAAAGUAUUAAAAUAAUUCCGUUUUUCUUCGUUUAUUCCUGGUCUCUUGUGAAAUGCGUGUGCAAAAAGUUCAAUUGACUUCUGGAAAAACUGUUCAUUUCUCGCAUUGUUUUGUCCUUAUAAUGAUAAAUUUCCAGAUGUAAUGCGCCACAACGCAAUUUCAUAUUGCAAAAUUAUGUUUGAAUUCUAAGGGGAGAAAUAUCACUAAACUGCUUUGAGUUUAAGAAAGUUGAUAAUAACCAAGUUUAAGUUAAUGGAAUGAUGAGCUAUUAUUUUGCUGCAAAGCGAACCAAAUACGGAUCAUGAUGACGGUCGAAAAUGAGAAAAUGCUAACCAAAUAUGCAAAAAUCACUAGAUAUUUGGAGGAAAAUUUUUCUGCAUGUUCAACGCACCAACGAGCAUUGUUUAUAUUAACAAUUUCGGCUUGAUAAUUUUCAUAUUAUUUCCACCCGCCGACGAGAGGGGAAAAUAGCAAGCAUAUUUUGCUAUCGAGUGGCGACUUUUUCUCCACGAUUUUCAUUAUUUAUGACUGUGGUUGCUUUCCGACAUUUAUGCUUCUCUUUUUUUUUGCUGCUUUUCUUCCAUUCUUGAAUGUUUCUACCAAAAAGCAAAUAUACAAAAGUUGCAAACAUAGAGAGAGAGAGAGAGCGGGAGGAAGAAAAACAGAUCUUGUUGCGAGACACGCAAACAGCAAUACACGGAAACAACAACAUUCAAGCGCUGAAACUUUUUCAAUUUUAGUAGAAAAAAAAAACAUUACAAUUCUUCCGCUUGUUUCCGACACGUGAGAGGAACUGUACACAUUUACAUUCCAUGAUUCGCUAACAAACGCCACCAUUCAAUAUUGAACUUUCGAUCUACGUUUUUCUCAUUUUCUUUUUUUGCCACUUUAAAACAUUUCCUCUUUUAAUAACAUUUGCUGCGCCACCAAAAGCGCUCAUACAUGAUAAAGUUGAUAUCGAUAAAAUGACUGAGAGUAAAAAUAUCAGCAACAACAGCAGCGGUGGCAGCCGCAAUAGCAGCGGCAAUGGUAACAUGAGCAGUAACAUUCGAUGGCAUAAGUUGUCCUCUAUAUUCCCACAGUCAGGCUCUUUGAUGCAGUGCUGAAGUAGGAUCGUUGAAAUUGAAGCGAUAAAUAUGAUAUAGUAUACAUUGUGCUGCCGCCGCCUGUGCACUUACCAUGUCACAGCGAGCAACUGAAGCCCAUAUUCAUUGAUAUAUGUUUAUUGUUGUACUUUUCUUUUUAAAUAGCAUUGGCGUUGUGUCGAACGGAAAUAGGUAAAAAGUUCUUGUUUAUGCUUUGGCUGGGCAAAAAAAAAUCAUGUAAAGUGCUCUUAUUCUCAGCCUCUCACGCUGUCUGCCAAACAGAACAAUAGGCGGAGAGACAGAGAAAGAGAGAGAGAGAGAGAGAAAAAAAACUGCUCCAGAAAAUGAAAUAACAAUUUGAAACAUUGUACUAUCUCUGUACAAUUGGCCAUAAAUUACUCUAUCGAUAAAAUUAUUACGAUUAUACAGUGGGUUUUUGGAUCCUCAAACAAUGUAUGUCACACGCGAUACACACUCACACACUCGAUGUAAAUGUUAAAUGGGCCAAAGGGGUCAUAUCUUCUUGGCAAAACCCACAACACAAUAAGAAGAAUGAUAUAAAUAAAUAAAAUAAUUCGAAUCGAAUGCCAAUCAAUUUUUUAUUGGUUUACUCUUCGAUUAGAAGCGAAUUUCGCGUAAUUGUUGGCUGAUGUACGGAAUACUUUUUCCCGUUCUGAUUGCAUACACAGAGCGAGAGAGAUAGAUGGAUAGAUAAAUAGAGAGAGAGAGAGAGAGAGAAUUCCCAGAGAAAAAUUUCAUCCAUUAACCGUCACGUACGUUGACAAAAACGAGUCUAACCAUUCGUGACUAAAAGGACAUAACGAAAUUUGUUUUGGCUUUCUUAUUUCAUGUGUCACGCUGCAGAAUCAAGCCGAACGAAACGCUUGCGAACAAAACCAAACCAAACAUCUCCACCGUUGCAAUUGAAUGUAUCUAUUACGCUUGAGAAGAAAUACGGUGCGCAACAUGCUGGACGAAUAGAUUGCAUAAGACCUUUGUCUAAGGUGAUGUGGUGGUGUAGGUGGUGGUGGUGGUAGUGGUGGUGAUGUUGGCAAAUGGUAUAUAGAUGCCAACAAGCGUAAUCAAGUACAGAUAAAACGGAAUACCGAUCCCGAAAAACCGUUCUCGCAGCAUUAUUAGCUUCUUGUUUUAUGUUCUGUUUCAAGGUAUUUUACUUUGCAACCGUAAUUCAUUGGACGUUUACUUGGGCACAAAGCGAAUGGAACAGUGACGGUGCUUGCUUUGAAUGGCUGAUACACUGAAUCGGCAAUAUUAAUUUUAUGAUUGAAAUUUUAACGAUUGAUGCUGAACGGAAUCAAGGAAUAAGUAUUUUAAUCCAAGAUAUGCUUGCCCUCUAUAAACAUUCUUCCUGCUCCUAUUCCUUCGCCGCCCAGCCACUGGAUUUUAUCUAUUUUCAGCAAAUGCGAAUUACGCAAAAUAUCUGGCACAUUCACCAAGCAUGUGAAAUAAUGAGUUAAGGCAACCAGUUUUGACCGACUCCAUACAUUUCUUCCCCAAAAUUCAAAACACCAUUCAGAGAUAUUCUACUUAGCGCGCCCGUAAAUCGCAAGAAUUAUGGCUAAAGUGUGGGCUGUUAGCGCCGACUAGCAAAUAAUCAACAUCCAUGCUACAUGUGGCAAAGCAUUGAGCUCAACUCGUUAAAUAUUUUGAACUGCAAUUUCAAAUUGGUGUGUCGUACUCAACUGUGCGAGUACGAUAUUCGAGCAGCGUGUGUGUAUGUAUAAAGUACCGGUUGAUAUCCAGUGCCUCUAAUGCACCCUCAAUUUAUACAAAAUAUCGUUGCUUCGCUCCUCUUUCGUCUGCGCGCCUGAAAUGAACAAUUCGCAGCAACUUGGGUCUGACUGCAAGUUUUAAUGCUUGUGCAUUAUGUUUCAGCUGCUGCUGCCAAGUUUCGUGAUUUAGUUGCGCCAAAUCGCCAUAUUCAUUAAUUAUCUUUGGAAAUUUCAAAUUAUCCUCAAUGAGAGUGCAGAAUUCGAUGUUUGCUGUUUUCAUUCACUUUAUUACACAUUGAUUGGAAGAAUCAGACCGAAUUCAUUGGUGAAGAAUACCACAAUUACAAAUAUCGCAGAAAAAAAAAAUGCUUCACAUUACAUAAGUAUACUUUGUUUUCAUUUUUUUAUGGAACGAAAAAAAAAAUGAAUGAAAAAAAUGGCAACAUUUGUUGAAUUAUUCGAAAUAUUCUUGCAAAUUUAAAACUCCACCAGGCAACAAACAAGAUGAAUGCAAUGGCAACAGAACAACACAUCAUUCUCCCAUAAUGCCAAUCAAAAAUGCUAUAUUCAUUUUGAUUGCAAGCUAAGCGCACAAACAAAAGCAGCAUUGUACAUCGAAAUUAAUGAUACUCACAUUAAUAAGCAAACAAAAUGAAAUUAAAGUAGCAGCAAACACAUGCAAUGCGAGUCAAGAGAUGAAUCAAACGACAAAUAAAUAUCCGCAGCUCGGAGCAAUUCCAUUCUUUACCUCCCCCUCCCUCUCUCUCACCCUCUGUGUUGAAUAUUCGAAUCACUGUUCUGUGCAGUUAUUUUCGCUUGCAGUUUUUGUUGUCCUCUUCUAUGUUAUUUAAAUUGCAAGCUCAUUACACUUGGGCACUGAGCCGCAGCGCAUUUUCCACGGCUAAAACAAGAAGCAUUGCAAUUCGAUUGUGGUGCGCUAUGGUUCGGGAUUUGGCCCGAUGAUUUUUUUUUCCUCCAUUGGCAAUGUGUUCGUGUGGUGUGUGCAUGGUCUAUAUACCGAUCGUUUGUUGCUAACACUCCGCACACCGUUUCCAAUUUGAACUUAUUGACACAAAACGAACGCAUGCACAGACGCCGGUUGUGAGCUUUGAUUUCUGACUUGAUUGAUGAAUACGGGAUGUUUCAUUUGUUUGUAGCUCAAACAUGUUACAUGUUUGCACAAUAGCGGAAAAAAGGGAGAAAAUAUCCCAUCGCAUCGCAAGUAUCAAAGUGGAAUAGUGAAAUAAGUGUGCAAUAAAGUCUGAUAUGGCGAGCAUCAAACGGAUGUUUUGAACAAUGAAAAUGGGUAGAUGGGGUUUGAGUCACUUGAAAAGCCCUAGUUCAUUUUAGGGAAAAUGACAAAAUGACUAUACGAAGACAAGUCAAUGAGGAAAAAAUAAGAAGACUCGGUCAUUGUUAAUGGAGUUGGAGUGAAGUUUCAGCACAAAUAGCUGAAAUAUCAACUGAAAAUUCGUCUUCUAAGACUAUCCAGAUAGUCUUCAGUUUUCUAAGAUUAUGUCGAAAGGUGUGGAUUAAAUAUCGCUAUACGAUAGUUUGACCAAUCUGUGAUGCUGUUACAAAGCUGUGGCGACAUCAACGUACAAUGUUAUGGAAUCGAUGAUGCGCAUCAAAUCAAGCAACAUAUGCUCUUGAAAUUCAGCCUCCUGUUCGGUUUAUUGAGUGGUACAUGUGCACAGCACCGAGUACAACGAUACACAUCAAUAUGAGCUUCAAGUCAAAUAUAAUAACGAAAUGAAGCGACAACGAAAAUCGGAAAUCACAAACAGACAAAGCUGACUUAAAGUUUGUCGAAUGCACCGUACACAUUCGACACCUAAUCAAAUUCUUUGUGUUGUGUUGCCCUCACUCGCACUCUUUCAAUUACCGCUUGCUUUUAUUAUUUCAUUUUUUUUUUUCAUUUCAAAUGAUGGUAAUGGUGAUGGAGCUGAUUUCCACUGAUUCAUUCGCAAUCAAGCACCUACCCAACCCACUAGAAAGAACGGAUUCGUUCUGAAGUAGCAUUUUCAAAUACAAUUCAGUCGACGCUUUUUUUCAAUUCAUUCUAUCUCCUCUGUUCUGGAUCUCUCUUUUUGCCACUUCAUGUGCGUAAAUGUCGAGCAUUUUCUGUGCAAUUUCUUGCCAUUUUCCUCUAUACUUUUUUUUUGUCUCUCUCUUCUUCAGCUGCUACCAGCUUCGCCGGCAAAUAUUAAUAAAAUGAUAGCAGCAAAUACUUGUGUGUAUGUGGUGGUGGUAGUGGUGGGGGGAGGGAGGGAGGUAGUGUGUGAUUUGAUGAUACGAUUCCACACGUUGUGCUUGUUCAGCACAAAAUGAAAUUCUAACAACAGUUCGUCGGUGCCAUCGAUAAAUACAAAAUGCUAUACACGACUUCAGCCGGAAACAAAAAGUGCUUGCGAAAAAAAAGUAUUGGUACACACAUCCAAUGGAAAUAGCGAGACAAAACGAUGUUGAUUUUUUGCGCGCAGCUUCAAUGCGUGUGUGUGUGUGUGCGCGCGUUCCUAUCGGCAUGCAUAGAGAUUUCGGCUAGGAAUUAAAUUUGAAAUGCUUUUGGAAAAUGAAUGAAAAAACAGUGUUUUGUCGUUAAGCAAUUUUACAUGCAAAGUAUUCGAGUCGCAGAGUGUGUGAAAAUUCCGCAUAAGCUGUUAUUGUGUACACUGUUCAGUGAUUGUCGAUCAAUCAAUGCUGGCAUUGGGAGUACAAUUCUCUAAUCGCUCGACAAUUCAUGACAAUUUAUUUGCAAAUAAUUUAUAUCGAAACGGCUUCACUGUUAUUAUUAACGCAAUAUUAACGUAUGACAAAUUCGAUUUUUCAUCCAGAAAUGGGAGACAAAAAAAGAUCUAUUUCGUAUCGAUAUGUCUCGACAAAUAGAAAUGAUGAACAAGCAAUCGUAUUAUCGUAAUUUAAUUAAUGAUUUCAAAAUUGUCAUUUUUUGCUGCGAGAUUUCAUGAAACGACAUGGAUGCGCACGUACGGCUUGAUUGUAAUUUUGCAUUAGAUUCCACUUCAUUUGCAAAAUGUCAAUCAGAUAUAUUUAAAUUGAACAAAUAACGAUGAUUGAUUACAUUUUGCCAUACGAAUUAGGGUUUUCGUUGGGAAAAUGUGGAGUCAUUGAGAUUUUCUGCCGUGAGACAAUCUGGCCAGAUAAUGUGUUAAAGUGCAAUUCAUCCGAAACAACGUUUCCAUUCUUAAAGUAUUACCGUGUUCGCUCCGACGUACAUUCGGGCUAGGUGUCAUUGAAACUCGAAUGAGAUGACAAAACGAAGGAAUCUGAUGGCAGUUGGGUAGAUUAGAAUUGGAAACGUUGGCUCGAUGACCUUUCCCAUUUGGCAAUUGCAAUCAUGUCCGAUGUAAAUGAUACAUGUUGCUAUCGAUUGAUCGAGAUGUGGAAAAGACCGUGUGUCAACUGUAUGUGAGAAGGAAAAUGAAACAGCGAAAAUGUGUUUCAUGUGUAAUGAAUGGACAAUGACAUCAAAUCCAGUCGAUUUUCAUCUCUCACACCAUCCAUUCCAAUUCAACCCAUUUUCAUGGUCACUCAUGCGUUUUAUUUUGUGUGCAUUUCGUUUAAUUUUUGUUAAAUGUCUGCCUCACAGCGGUCGAUUUUUUUUUUUGUUCAAAUGAGAAUCAACGUGCAAUUCAACGACCGAUUUCAUAAAAUCUAAUUAGUUUUUAAUUCAAAUACGUAUUUAAAACUGUAAACAGUAAUCAAGAAAAUGGGAAAAAUGUGAUUCCGUUAUUUGUGAUGCGCACUCGACUGGAAUUCGGUAUUAAAUACAAUUAACCAACCGGUGACCACAUGUCUAUCAUCAAUUGCACGACUGAAAAUCGAACAUUUAAAAUGUCGCUUGCCAUUCAAGUGAAACGGUGCGGUUGGUAUGGUGUGUAAUGUCACACCAGAAUUGCCUCACUUGAACUGAACGAAAAAAAAAAAUGGCAACAAGAAAAAUCAAAUGAAAUAAAUUAAAAUAAAACAACAUGCACUUUCAACGUGUGAUAUAAAACGGGCCACAUGUGCCGUGAUCACACUUUGCAUACAAAUGAUUCAAAUUAUUGUUGCGUUGAUGUGUCAAAAGUCCGAAAUUUCUCCAGCUCUGAACUCUCGUUGUUCAGUCCAAGCAAGAGCCUAUAAUUAGCAAUUAAUAUAUAAUUAAUAUGUUGUAUUGACACGGCAUUAUUAAAUGACGUAUAUGUGUUGCAGUUGGCCACUGUUCAACGCGCCGUGCAUACGGGCGCACAAAAAAAAACCGUCAAUAUUAAUUAAUUUUAUAUGCAGAGUCUUGUUCAAUAAUUGAAUGAUUAUAUCGCUUAAUGCUCAUUUAAUUAUCACCAAUCGAAUUGUUCUGGUUUUGGUGCAGCCGAUGCAUCUUAAUUGUUAACAGGCAGCUGGCUAAGGUCAUUGAAUUUAUGCCAUUCACUGUGUUGUUUUAUGAAACAAAACGCAAAUCCAUACCUGACAAUGGAAGUGCGCGAAUUGUAAACUGUCAAUGAAUCAAAAUAAAUUUAAUUCAUUCUUGGGUCAUUUUUGCAUUGUAAAAACGUGAACAAGUACCAGAAUCAAAGUUAAUUAUUUUCUUAUCAAAAAUAAA
Sitodiplosis mosellana (orange wheat blossom midge) is the source of this 25910-nucleotide long non-coding RNA. RefSeq lists it as uncharacterized. The record is from RefSeq and is a predicted model, not a curated record. Lineage: Eukaryota; Metazoa; Arthropoda; Insecta; Diptera; Cecidomyiidae. The transcript has 2 exons.